GGUUACCUUGUUACGACUUCACCCCAGUCAUGAAACACAAAGUGGUAAUCGUCCUCCCGAAGGUUAGACUAACUACUUCUUUUGCAUCCCACUCCCAUGGUGUGACGGGCGGUGUGUACAAGGCCCGGGAACGUAUUCACCGCAGUAUUCUGACCUGCGAUUACUAGCGAUUCCGACUUCAUGGAGUCGAGUUGCAGACUCCAACCCGGACUACGACAUUCUUUAAGGGGUCCGCUCCACAUCACUGUCUCGCUUCUCUCUGUAAAUGCCAUUGUAGCACGUGUGUAGCCCUACACGUAAGGGCCAUGAUGACUUGACUCGUCCCCACCUUCCUCCGGUUUGUCACCGGCAGUCUCCUUAGAGUGCCCAACUGAAUGCUGGCAACUAACGACAAGGGUUGCGCUCGUUGCGGGGACUUAACCCAACAUCUCACGACACAAGCUGACAACACCAUUGC
This 457-nucleotide ribosomal RNA is filed under the name uncultured gamma proteobacterium 400m-FREE-5. RNAcentral's name for it is "partial 16S ribosomal RNA". Lineage: Bacteria; Pseudomonadati; Pseudomonadota; Gammaproteobacteria. The record is from RNAcentral.